ACGACUGCCAACGUUUUCCUCCAGAUGAUCCAGACAAACUGGACCAGUGGAAGCUCAACAUGAGGCAGAACUGAACUGGGCUCAUCUCUUCAGCACUGACCCCAGGUCCACAUAUGGGAAGGACCUGCCUGAAGGAGUCCACUGUGUUGACCAUGUUCUGUCUCCAAGAGCAAAGAAGACAAAAUAAUCACUCAGUUCUUAUCAUUACAUGUACUGUUACACAGCUUUUGAAAUAUAUUUAAAUCACACAAACCUGUUAUUGCUUCAGGUUUUAUCUGUAGUGUAUGAGUUAUUUGUCAAUUAAUAGUCAGAUUUGAAUGUGAAAUCUCACAUAUUCAGUCAGUAUUAAAGACACAAAUAGUUAAGAUAUAAACAUAAUUUAUUAACCAGAACCAGAAGUUAUUGAUUAACUCUCAGAUUUAUUUUUAGUGAAGGUACAAAACACAAAAAGGUGGACAAAAUUAAAAUUAUAGAACACAUUUAAUAUACAGACUGGGCCUGUGCAAGCAGUAAAAGCUGAGCUCAGAAUGAGCCCAGAGCUGCAGAGUCCAUGUGGUGGGAGGAGGAGGGGAUACAGUGUGGGACUGUAGGGGAGGGGAAGAGCAGAGGUAAUAAGCGUUGUAGCUAUAGUUGGUAUUUUUUAUCAACAUUGAUGACCAUAAAAUAAACUCAACAUUGUCCAUGAAAGUCAGGGACAUGUUUAGACUUAACAAAGUGUGUCCUGAAGGCCAAAUUCAAUAGCAGUGACACUGCCAACUAUAGCAGUUACAGGUCCCCUUC
RNAcentral lists this long non-coding RNA (780 nucleotides) under Scophthalmus maximus (turbot). RNAcentral's name for it is "lncRNA (ENSSMAG00000022015.1)". The record is from RNAcentral. Lineage: Eukaryota; Metazoa; Chordata; Actinopteri; Pleuronectiformes; Scophthalmidae.